UACUGAUCAUGCUGAUAUACUGGAAGUUCAGCAAUAAUUUUUUGUCAAGGAUUCUUUAAGACCCAAAAGCUAUUGAGAAAUCUUGGUCUAAGGAGAAGAAAAGAGAGCCGAAGAUUGAAGCUUGAAGAAGUCCAGCGUUUCAGAUCAGAUGAGGAGCACUGGCUGGUAAAUGAAGAAGGAGAAGGAGCAACUGAAGAGGCAGUAGACAAUCCAAACGGAUCUAGUAUCAUGGAAACCAAGUCAGUGGAGGAUCUACUGGAGUGGCAUGGUCAGCUUUGUUGUGCUUUGAUAAGAGGGUCAACUCAGAUUCUCCAAGAAGCAGGCACCAAGACAGAAUUAGAUGUGAAAGAAAUACACUCAGAGAAAUGCUCUUGAAGGAUAAAGACGCCAAGGAGCAAGAGGAACUGUAAAAACCUCCAGAUCAUGUUGCUGUUUUCAAUAGUUCUUUAUAUAGAACUAAAUGAAAUUGUCUGAGUUUUGACAAUUAUAAUAUUUUAUUUCUGAUUAAUCAGAAAAUAGUUUGCCAUAAAAAUUUAUCACUUCUGAUAUUAGCACAUAAAUUUGUUUUUAUUGUAAUUUCAAAACUAAUGUCAAGACUGAGCAAAUCAUAAGAUGGAAGCACCUGUGAGUGCCUGGGACCCUCAAGAUCAUCAAAUCCAGCUUUCCCUGCAGAGAUGGUCUUUCAACUUUUGCCUGAACAUCAUCCUUGUGAGGGAAAUCGUUUCAUCACAAAGCAAUCCAGUUUACUACUGGAACACUGCAAUUAUUUGAAGCAAAACAUCUGGAUCUACUGGAUAACACUGCUCACCAACACUGGUCAUCUUUGUCUUUACCCAAGGCAAGUAUGCCACCUUAUAAAGGACUUUGCACUGGACAUGAUGGUUUACACCCUACUCGAGAGGCUGAAGUGGGAAGAUCAUUUGAGCCCAGGGGUUCAAGA
This 940-nucleotide long non-coding RNA is filed under the name Homo sapiens (human). Its description in RNAcentral is "HSALNT0337162". Lineage: Eukaryota; Metazoa; Chordata; Mammalia; Primates; Hominidae. The record is from RNAcentral.